Non-coding RNA from Chrysemys picta bellii (western painted turtle), 2501 nucleotides. The record is from RefSeq and is a predicted model, not a curated record. NCBI's taxonomy places the organism in Eukaryota, Metazoa, Chordata, Testudines, Emydidae.
UAGAGGAAGAGGGGAUGAGGAAUAAUGUGUGAUCAGAUAAUUAACAGGACUAGAGGAACCCCGCAAUGAUCUAGGCCCAGUACUAGGCAGGGAUGGUAAAAUGGACAAGUGUUCAAUAAAUAUUUCUGUCCUGUAUUUGUAAAGAAGCGGCAUGGCAUAUUCAUGUCUUACAAUAUUAAAGAAAUACUUUCUAUUUCAACAGUAACUGUGGAGGAUGAUAAACAGCAUCCGAUAAACUUAGAGCUCAACUACACUUGAAACGCUACAGUGGCACAGCUGCAGCGCUUCAGUGUAGACACUCACUUCUGCAACAGGAGAGGUUCUCCCAUCACUAUAGUUAAUCCACUUCCCCCAGGAGAUGGUUGCCAGGUCAACGGAAGAAUCUUUCAAUUGACUUAGCACUGGUCUACUCCGGCGGUUAGGUCUGCUUAACUGCAACACUCAGGGGUGUGGAUUUUUCACACCCCUGGGCGACGUAGCUGGGUUGACUUAACUUUGUGUAGACCUGACCUUAAACUUUUUAAAUAUGUAGGAGUGGGGCCAUGUUUACACUACAAACUUUGAUCCACAUGAAGUGAUGUUGGCAUAAAACUGCCACAGUUUGUAUAGCACUUGUACUCAUGCAUACUUGGCUUCUUGUGUCAGCGCUUCACAUACUCACCAGGAGUGCUUGUGUCAAUGCACAGUGCAGUACACCAUGGGUAGGUAUCCCAGUGUGCAACCUGACACCAUACAGCACACUGUCUUUUGGAAAGUUUUGGCAAUGCAUUGUGGGGCAGAAAGGGGUUGUGCAGGGGUGACUGGGAGCAUGGGGUUAACCUCCCAGCAUGCAACUGUCUCCGUCCCAUAAUGUCACUUAUAUCCCAUACUUUUCAGACCUUUUUUAAAAAUCCCACAAACCCACGUAGCCAUCCUCACUAUCAGUCAUCUCUGACAGUUGCAUGGAGCUCUCCACUAUUGUCAUAAGCAUUACAAGCAUAGGACACGCAUUCCUCCAGUAUUGGCAGAGCUGUAAGAAGAACUGAAUGAGCAGGGAACAUGAUGAGUUAUUGGAGGACAAAUUGCUGAGGGACAUAGAAAGAAACAAUUCAAGGUUGUUGAUGGCAUUCACAGAGCAGCUGCUGAUGGUGGAGCACUGCAUGGGAUUGCAUCAUAAUACAGGCUUGGGAUGAGGAGCAUUGGCUGUAGAACUUUCAAAUGUACAAGGUCCCAUUUCUGGAUGUGUGUGCCGAGCGCGCCCCAGACCUCCAGUGCAGGGACACCAAAAUGAGAGUUGCACUGGCAGUAGAGAAGCUAGUGGCAAUUGCACUGUGGAAACUCGCAGAGCCGGAUUGCUACCAAUCAUUGGGAAGUCAUUUUGGAGAUGGAAAAUCCACUGUGGAGUCUGUUGUCAUGCAAGUGUGCAGGGCCAUUAAUCAUCUCCUGCUAUGCAGGACUGUGACACUCAGCACUGUGCAGGACAUAGUGGAUGGAUUUUCAGCAGUGGGGUUCCCAAACUGCGGUGGAGCAACACAUCCCUAUUUUGGUGCCAGACCACCUUGCCACAGAGUAUAUCAAUAGAAACGGCUACUUUUUUAUGGUUAUGCAAGCAUUGGUGGAUUGCUGGGGAUGCUUCACUGACAUCAGUUUUGGCUGGUCAGGGAAGGUCAAUGAUGCUUGCAUCUUUAAGAACACAGGACUGUUCAGAAAGCUACAGAGACUUUCUUGCCCAACUGGCAAAUUAGCUAUGGUGAUGUUGAAUUGCUAGCAGUGAUCCUGGCGGACCCAGCCUACCCCUUGCUCAUGAAGCUGUAAACCAACCACCUCAAUAGCACCAAGGAAAGAGUCAACUACCAGCUCAGGAGGUGCAGAAUGACAGUUGAAUGUGCUUUUGGUGGAUUGGAGGGACACUGAUGUUGUUUACUGACAAGAAUGGAUCUCAGUUAAAAAAAAAAUCCCAAUGGUUAUAGCUUCCUGCUGUGUCCUGCAUAUUUGUGAAGCAAAGGGGAAAAAGUUGCCACCAGGGUGGAUGGUUGAGGUAGAGCGGCUCACUGCUGAGUUUGAACAGCCAGACACAAGGGCUAUUAGAAAAGCUCAACUCAGAUCUAUACGGCUCAGCGAGGCUUUGAAAGAGCUCUUUAAUGGCUGUUUGCAGUGUUCACCCUCCAGGCACUAUGCUCAAGUCUGAUGCAGCACCAGCUUGCAGGAUCGCACUGAACAUGUCAUCCUGAGUCGUCAUCUUUUUUCUCCUUAUCUGACUCCCCUUCCCACAGGUGUGGAAUGGGAACCCCUUAAGGCCGCAACAGCAGCAGCUGCAGAUAAAACACACAGAGAAACUUCUCUUUUGGGGCAAGAGGAACUUGUUUAAUACUAACUACAAUAAUUUAUCCAAGUUAAAAGGGACUGUUUGGGUACUAGCAGGACACCAGAACAUUCUUGGAAAAGUUUGAAUUUCAGAGUAGUGUCCCAACUGAUCCAGGUGUCUCUCAAAGGCCAGAAGAGCUAUCAGGAUCUUGUCAAGG